AAGGCCUUAAGUUAAACUAAACUAAUAACCUUCAAAGCUAUAAAUAAAGGAUGCUUGACCCUUUAGGCCUUG
Molecule: transfer RNA, 72 nt
Filed under: Heterotermes tenuis
Lineage: Eukaryota; Metazoa; Arthropoda; Insecta; Blattodea; Rhinotermitidae
Also listed under: 1 other name
Description: tRNA-Trp
Source: RNAcentral